ACCAUCCAGACAGAUGCAUGUAGUUUCUGAAGAACUGAGAGGCUUUUCUAGAAGCCUAAGCAGACAUUUCCUUGAGCUUCAUCAGCUGUAUUGAACAUGACCAUCCCUAAACAAAUAACUGGUAUCUAGGAAAUGAAGUUGGAGCUGAGGGUAGCUGUCCCCAAAGAAAAUCAAGAUAAGGAAUGAAUCUGGGGCAGUGGAAACAAUGUCUAUCAAAUCUUCCUACCCUGUGUACAUUUACCCUGUUUUCCACAAUUCCCUGCUCUACCUGAGAAACCCUUGCUCAUCUAAACUGAUAAUAUUUCAGUGGAAGGAGAGCAAGUAGUGUCAGGAUGGCUGAACCAUUAGAUGAAUGGUUGAAGCUGAAGAGAUGGGGUCUCGCCAUGUUGCCCAGACUGGUCUCCAAUUCCUUGGCUCAAGCGAUCCUCCUGCCUCAGUCUCCCAAAGUGCUGGGAUUACAGGUGGGAGCCAUGGCACCCAGCUGAGUAUCUGAUCACCCUGGUAGUAUGUACAAGAGCAUGUGAUAUGGGCUUAAUGUGCAGCCUCCAACUUAGAAUCUGGAGGGAAUGUGUGAAGGAACCAAAUUCAGAGUUAUAUGAAGUGGCUACAGCUGUCAAAGUUGCAGCAGUCUAUCAGUGAGUGACCACAAGUGGUGGAGAACAAUAAAGUGACAUCAAGAGUCCAGUGACAUGACACAAGUAGUAGCUUUCUAAGCAGUUUAUCUCUGUGGCAUGAUCUUGACUCUAUUAUGCCUCAUUUAGUUUCUGCCUCUUUUCUAAGCUUGGUUCUCAAGCUGCUUAGUCAAUUUUGUGAGUUCACUGAUAGUCUCACAAUAAAUCGCCUUACUGUUUA
RNAcentral lists this long non-coding RNA (852 nucleotides) under Pan troglodytes (chimpanzee). Its description in RNAcentral is "lincRNA". The record is from RNAcentral. Lineage: Eukaryota; Metazoa; Chordata; Mammalia; Primates; Hominidae.